CUAGUUUAAGGGCUCUCCCUUAUUUCUUUUUCUUUCACACUUAAACACAUUUACACACACAUCCCUCUAUCUCUAUACAAAUAAAUAACUGUUUUAGGCAGUAUCCCUUUUGUCUUGUUUUGAUCAAAGCAACAGACACUAGUGGUUUGUACUAAAAUAAUAUAUUUAAAUUCAAAAAAAAAAAAAACAAAAAUCCUAUAGAUUAUAAAUUGCCAAGGCUAAUUGAAUUGAAGCAGCUAAAAUAAUAGUAGUAGUUUGCGUGACAUCAAGAACCUACUUUCCCAAACGAAACCCUACCUUCCCUCACCACCGCCAAUGCACCACCACCUCCUCCUCCUCCUAGUCAAAAAUGCGAGAAAGAGAGGGAAAAAAUUGUAGUGAAAGUGAGUGAGUGAGUUGAGUGAUCAGUGAGAGAAAGAGCGAGAGAGAGUGAGUGAGUUUUUGAUGAAAGCGAUUGAUGAAUUAAAAGCAAAAGGCAGCUGAAACCGAAAUAAUAGGGUUUUUUCUUUUGUUUUUAGAUUAGAUUUUUUUCUUUUUUGGGGCGUUCGUUUCGGUCUCUAGUAAAAAGCCAUUGACUAUUUUGUUUGCGUGCUAUUGAAUUGAUUUUUUUUUUUCCUCUUUUUUGUUUUUUUUUUUUUUUUGGUGCAGUAAAUUCUUCAUUGGAGGCUUAGCCAAGGACACCACCUACGAAACCUUUGUGAGUUACUUUGAGAAGUAUGGAAAGAUAACAGAUUCUGUUAUAAUGAAAGACCGGCACAUACAUUGACCAGAGGGAUUCGGUUUCAUAACCUAUGAGGAUCCUUCUGUUGUUGACCAGAUGAUCCAAGAGACCCAUGUCAUCAAUGGCAAGCAGGUUACUCUAUGUUCUCUUAAAUAUCUCCCACCGGUUCAUCACACCACCACUUCCUCCACCAUUACUUUCCGGUGGGAUUUACCGGGGAAAACUCCAUAGCAACCUCCAUUAUCUCAAACUCUAAAGGUUCCAAGAUUCUUGGUGAUGGACCUAGUGAUUGGAUUGGUUGAUUACAAGUUGCCCGUUUGAGGUAAAAUCAGUUGGUCUUCUGAGGUAAGUGGCUUCUUAAUGGGAUUUUUUAAAAGAAUCAUUAUUGCACUUAAGUAUUUUAUAGUUAAACCCAUUUUAAAGUGUUGUUCAUAGUUUUCCUAAAACAUACUAUUUGAACUAUUCUGUUAAUAAAUUAUGGAAAACGCAUGAAACAUUGAAAGUGCAUCAUAUUUAAUAUUGUACAUGGGGAAAUGCAUGAAUUAUUGGCAUGGAAAGACAAGUGUCUUUGAUCUCAUCAUUUGAUAAUGUAUUUCAUAUAUUUAUGGUGUUAUUUGGAAAUACUAAAAGAUGUUUUAUCUUAAAUUGUAUUAAUUGGGAAGUUAUACAAAAUCUUUUUGGCAAGGAGUGAUUUCGAAGAAUUUGAGAAUUUUGUAGAAAUCUUGGCUAUUGAAUUAUAUUAUGAAACUACUUGGAAGUAAAAUAUGUUUUUUGAAUACAUAUAACUUAUGGGCUUUUGAUGUGGGUUUGCCAUUGUGCUAUGUUAUUGGUGAUUACCUAGUCUUUGUGAUGAUGUCUGUGUGACGUGUGAUUGCCCUAUCUUUGUGACAAUAUCUUUGUGAUGUGUGAUUACCUGUCUUUAUGACAACAAGCCACAUUAGAGCCUCCCACUUUGCAUGACGUAGGUAAAUCCUUGAAUGUGUGAGUAAGGUCACUGCCCAUAGGGCCAAAAGACCAUAUGCAAAAGGGGUUCUAUGUGACACGUCAUUGCCUGUUUCCCAUAGGGGAAGAGGUAAAUCUUUGAGUGUGUGGGUGAGGCUAGGCAGGGCCAAUAAACCACAUGCAAAAGAGGUACUACAUGACGCGUUAUUCCCUGCCCCCCAUGAGGGGGAGAGGUAAAUCCUUGAGAGUGUGAUUGAGGGUGUUGCCUAUAGGGCCGAUAAACCACAUGCCAAAAGAGGUACAUAUCAUGCAAUUGUGUUUGGGUUCUAACAUGUCUGUGGCAGUAUGAUGUCUCGGUGACAUUUACGUCUUUGUGGCACCUUGUCAUGUGGCCUUGUUUCUGGUUUUGAAAUAGCAUUGGACAUUGUUUAUGACUUACAGUAAACAUUAUGUAGUUUCAUGGUUAUUUUGGGAAGCUUGGACCCACAUUAUUUUAAUCAUUCUCGUCAUGUUUUUAUUGAAAUUGAUUUUGUAGAAAAUAAUAGUAAUUCUCAAAUUAUAGCAUGUUUUGUAAUGUGCUCGUUGUCGUUAAACUUGCAUUUCCCCCAACCCAUUAGUUAUGCUACUUACUGGGCUUUAGCUCAUCCUACUCUCUCAUAGUUUUACAAACUGGAAAGCAUGGACACAGUAGUUGGGUUGCCGUGUUAGUAUCCAACACCCUUUGUCGCGGUGGCUUGUGGAUAUGGUAACCAUGCUAGCUGUAGGCGGCAGAUCUCUAUAAAUUUACCAGAGAGAGAUAGAAACUAAUCUGUUUGUUUUCAUUUUUUUUGUUUUUUGUUUUUUGGUCUUGAGAUGAAAAGAAACUAAUUCGUUCUCUAAAGAAGAAAGAAAGAAGUGUGGCACUGUGGCUAUAGAUGGGGUGUAGGUGGGGAAAUUAAUUGGGUUUUGCCAAAAAGAAAGAAGUGUGGCUAUAAAUGGGGGUAACCUUGUGUUAAUUCAUAUGGAGUUUUGAAAUAGUUUAUGUAUAAUUGGAGGCACAUGAUUCAAUUGUAGCAUUUGUAAUUGUGUUAUAGAGCUUUGACUUAUAUUGUGGAGAGUUCAGAAUGUUUACUUAUCUUUAUCAUAAAGAAAGGGGGAAAAAAUCCCUUACCAUU
Long non-coding RNA from Quercus robur (English oak), 2817 nucleotides. RefSeq lists it as uncharacterized. NCBI's taxonomy places the organism in Eukaryota, Viridiplantae, Streptophyta, Magnoliopsida, Fagales, Fagaceae. The transcript has 3 exons. The record is from RefSeq and is a predicted model, not a curated record.